CCCGUUAAAUUUGCAACAAAUUGAUCGACUAACUAUAAUAUGCGUAAAGAUACCUAAUUUUGCGUUUGCAUUUCCAAAAUCAAAUCAAACAAUCAUAUUCGCUCAUCGGUUUAACCUAUUCACUCCAUUAUUUACGCUCAAAUUAUCUAUGCGAUGAAACUUGAUCCCAGUAUACAUGAUCGUGAAAAAUCAGGGACGGAAUCACAAGAAAUCACAUACAUAUCUUCUUCCUUUCUCUCUCACGAACACUUGAGAAUUUUUCUUCUGUCUUCUGUUGCUCCUAAUUUGAAUUGAUUUAUUGGUGCAGGUAUCUAAGUAAUUUGAAGAAGUUUGGUCCCGAUAGGAGAUAACAUCAAAUCAUCGUUGAAACAAACAGAUCGCAAGGAGGCAGGAGAUGGUUCGGUUAUAUUGUCGUCUUAUGAUUCUGAUCUCAUCAUUUGGUUUAACAUGUACGGAUGUUAACGAUGGUGGAUUCAAUUUGAGAAUUUAUGGUUCACGAUUUCUUCUUAUUAAGGUUCUUAAUUCAUGGUAUUCAAUUUUAUUUUUUCUGUUCUAUGUUUCUGAUUUACAAGGUCUUUUUACAUUAAAGUUUGCUCCUUCGUUGGUUGAGUUCUUGGGCAAAAGUUAAGGACAAACUUUGAUUUAACCUAAUUUCUUUCCAAGAGACAUCUUCAUGAUAUUCUUAAAAUAAAUGAGAAUUUUUUUAUGGAAGCAUAACAAAAUCGGUUGUAUUCUCCUUUACCCUCCACUAAUUGCUGAUGAACUCAUUUAUUUAACACCUGAUACCUCCCCUUCUCAACACACCGAUGAACAAGUUAAUCUAUAUCAUCCUUUCAUAUUCUUUUUGAAAAAAAAAAAAUUGAGCCCUUGUGUAUGUUAAUUUGUUUUUUUGAUAGAAUUCUUUGCUUAAAGAUGCAUUGGAUUCUCUUUGGUUUACUAAUUCAAAUUUUAUGUGAUUAUGUUCUUUGGCCAAUAGGUAACAUGUUUGUUGGUGAUUUAACUUUUAGUUCUUUUUGUACUACGGUUCAAGUGUAUAGGGUGAGACAAUUAUUCCUUUUAGUUGUGCAUUGGAACAGAAUCUUGUUGAUCUUCCAGAAGAUCAAGCAGAAAAAUACUGUGAGGAAAUCUCUUUAUUUUAGGUAUAAAUUCUCUGUUAAAACCCAAAGGACGUUUUUUUUUUGGUUUAGAAUUCCAUGGAUAAUGGACUUAUAUCCUGCCUUGCAAAAUGACUCAUUUGAUUGCUAAACACCCCAUCUUUCAGUUUUUUCAGAUAUGAAGGCAUACCUAUUCUGCUUGGUUUCAAUUUCAGCUUACACCAAAAACUUUCAAACAUGAACUGUUUUGUUCAUUUUGUAUAAAAUUGUUUUCUAUAAUGUCAGUCAACCUCUCAUCUGAAAUUAGGUCAAAUUAGGUUUAUUUUGAGUUGACUUUGAGCUUUUUUUAGUUGGUUUUUUACCUCAACACACAAGAUGAGGAGGCCCAUGGCCUUGGUGCUGUCAUAGUAUAGCCUCUGUAACAUAAGGAUGCUAACUAGGGAUGAUAAAAAUGGUGACAUUGUUUAGAAACCCGUUUCUCUAACUCCAUUUUGCUAAGACUCACACUCAUGUGUCAUUGAUUACUAACAAUUUAGAAUGGGUGAAUAGUAACUUUUGGGUGUUUCUUUUUGAAUUAAUAGAAAAAGGCUCAAACUUUAAAGUGGAAGGAUGGAGGGUGUAUGUAUUCAGACCCUAAACUAUGUUAGAAAGUAUAUAUACAGAGUAUAAGAGGUCAUCAGCCAGAUACAAACAGGGUAAUAAUUUGCGUGAUGCUGUGAAUUCAUAUAACUAAGAUUAAGUUACAUUUUGAGGCCUUCAAGCAUAAAUCGAUUUGCAUUAACAUAUUUGAACAAACAGGGACGGAAAUUUUGACAUCAAUCUUAUUCCAUAAAUUAUAUUAGCUAAUUGCAGAAUAAAUGUUGAAAAGAACUGUUAUCAAUUUAACAAACAGUUCUCUUUUUUUCUCCAUUAAAUGUUAUCUAAAUCCUGGCGUUGGUUAGAAGAGAAUGAAGAUGUAUCUCUUGGAAAGCAUAUUGAACAAGCUCAGAUGGCUAUUGCAAAUGGUGGAGAUUGGCAAAAGGAAGUCUAUCAAAAAGAUGGUGCAUAUGAAAGUAGAUGUGUGUAAGUUUUGCCAUAUGUUAUGGUCCAACAUUCUGUAGAUUUGCUUAAAUUUUUGUUGUAUUGCUAGCUAAGUUUUGUAGUCGCAUCUUUGCAAGUAAAUGAUGAUAAAGUAAAGUCUGUACUUGAGCUGA
Non-coding RNA from Lactuca sativa (garden lettuce), 2287 nucleotides. The record is from RefSeq and is a predicted model, not a curated record. NCBI's taxonomy places the organism in Eukaryota, Viridiplantae, Streptophyta, Magnoliopsida, Asterales, Asteraceae.